CCUACGGGUGGCAGCAGUCGAGAAUCAUUCACAAUGGGGGAAACCCUGAUGGUGCGACGCCGCGUGGGGGAAUGAAGGUCUUCGGAUUGUAAACCCCUGUCGUGUGGGAGCAAAGUAAAAAGCUCGUACCACAAGAGGAGGAGACGACUAACUCUGUGCCAGCAGCCGCGGUAAUUCAGAGGUCUCAAGCGUUGUUCGGAAUUCCUGGGCGUAAAGCGUUCGUGGGCUGUUUCGUAAGUCGUGUGUGAAAGGCGCGGGCUCAACCCGCGGACGGCACAUGAUACUGCGAGACUAGAGUAAGGGAGAGGGAACCGGAAUUCUCGGUGUAGCAGUGAAAUGCGUAGAUAUCGAGAGGAACACCCGUGGCGAAGGCGGGUGCCUGGACAUUAACUGACGCUGAGGCACGAAGGCCAGGGGAGCGAAAGGGAUUAGAUACCCCUGUAGUC
This 446-nucleotide ribosomal RNA is filed under the name uncultured bacterium. RNAcentral's name for it is "partial 16S ribosomal RNA". It matches the Rfam family "Bacterial small subunit ribosomal RNA", at positions 338 to 795 of the family's 1533-position model. The record is from RNAcentral.